GUCUUUUUGAUGAUAAUUUAAAGUCAAGCCUGCCCAGUGAUUAAUUUAACGGCCGCGGUAUUUUGACCGUGCUAAGGUAGCAUAAUCAUUAGUUUUUUAAUUGAAAGCUUGUAUGAAUGGUUAGAUGAGAAAGAUUCUGUCUCUAAAUUAUUUUAAUUGAAUUUUAUUUUUAAGUAAAAAAGCUUAAAUUAAUUUAAAAGACGAGAAGACCCUAUAGAGUUUUAUAUAAUUAUUAAAUUUUAAGGUUUGGGAAUUUUAAUUAAUAUUUUAAAUUGUAUUUGGUUGGGGAGAUAAUAAAAUUUAAUAAACUUUUAUUUAAUAAAUACAUAAAUUUAUGAUUAUUUGAUCCAUUAUUUUUGAUUAAAAGAAAAAAUUACCUUAGGGAUAACAGCGUAAUUUUUUUUAAGAGUUCUAAUCGAUAAAAAAGAUUGCGACCUCGAUGUUGGAUUAAAAUUUAUUUUUGGUGAAGAAGCUAAAAUUUUAGGUCUGUUCGACCUUUAAAGUUUUACAUGA
This 513-nucleotide ribosomal RNA is filed under the name Oberea oculata. Its description in RNAcentral is "partial large subunit ribosomal RNA". It matches the Rfam family "Bacterial large subunit ribosomal RNA", at positions 1830 to 2603 of the family's 2925-position model. Lineage: Eukaryota; Metazoa; Arthropoda; Insecta; Coleoptera; Cerambycidae. The record is from RNAcentral.